CAAAAGCGCAUGUGCUGUGAGCUCGAUGAGUAGGGCGGGACACGUGGUAUCCUGUCUGAAUAUGGGGGGACCAUCCUCCAAGGCUAAAUACUCCUGACUGACCGAUAGUGAACCAGUACCGUGAGGGAAAGGCGAAAAGAACCCCGGCGAGGGGAGUGAAAAAGAACCUGAAACCGUGUACGUACAAGCAGUGGGAGCCCCACCACUAAGCCAGUGGUGAACUCCACAUACGCAUCCUUUGCUGAGGAUGCGGUUAACGGAGCGAAAGCGACGUUCAACCGCAAAAGAAGCAGAGGGGGCUUAGUGGUGGGGUGACUGCGUACCUUUUGUAUAAUGGGUCAGCGACUUAUAUUCUGUAGCAAGGUUAACCGAAUAGGGGAGCCGGAGGGAAACCGAGUCUUAACCGGGCGUUAAGUUGCAGGGUAUAGACCCGAAACCCGGUGAUCUAGCCAUGGGCAGGUUGAAGGUUGGGUAACACUAACUGGAGGACCGAACCGACUAAUGUUGAAAAAUUAGCGGAUGACCUGUGGCUGGGGGUGAAAGGCCAAUCAAACCGGGAGAUAGCUGGUUCUCCCCGAAAGCUAUUUAGGUAGCGCCUCGUGAAUUCAUCUCCGGGGGUAGAGCACUGUUUCGGCUAGGGGGCCAUCCCGGCUUACCAACCCGAUGCAAACUGCGAAUACCGGAGAAUGUUAUCACGGGAGACACACGGCGGGUGCUAACGUCCGUCGUGAAGAGGGAAACAACCCAGACCGCCAGCUAAGGUCCCAAAGUCAUGGUUAAGUGGGAAACGAUGUGGGAAGGCCCAGACAGCCAGGAUGUUGGCUUAGAAGCAGCCAUCAUUUAAAGAAAGCGUAAUAGCUCACUGGUCGAGUCGGCCUGCGCGGAAGAUGUAACGGGGCUAAACCAUGCACCGAAGCUGCGGCAGCGAC
This 929-nucleotide ribosomal RNA is filed under the name Salmonella enterica subsp. enterica serovar Oranienburg. RNAcentral describes it as "bacterial LSU rRNA". It matches the Rfam family "Bacterial large subunit ribosomal RNA", at positions 380 to 1212 of the family's 2925-position model. The record is from RNAcentral. Lineage: Bacteria; Pseudomonadati; Pseudomonadota; Gammaproteobacteria; Enterobacterales; Enterobacteriaceae.